This 392-nucleotide ribosomal RNA is filed under the name Aeromonas veronii. Its description in RNAcentral is "bacterial SSU rRNA". It matches the Rfam family "Bacterial small subunit ribosomal RNA", at positions 70 to 461 of the family's 1533-position model. The record is from RNAcentral. Lineage: Bacteria; Pseudomonadati; Pseudomonadota; Gammaproteobacteria; Aeromonadales; Aeromonadaceae.
GGAAAGUAGCUUGCUACUUUUGCCGGCGAGCGGCGGACGGGUGAGUAAUGCCUGGGGAUCUGCCCAGUCGAGGGGGAUAACUACUGGAAACGGUAGCUAAUACCGCAUACGCCCUACGGGGGAAAGCAGGGGACCUUCGGGCCUUGCGCGAUUGGAUGAACCCAGGUGGGAUUAGCUAGUUGGUGAGGUAAUGGCUCACCAAGGCGACGAUCCCUAGCUGGUCUGAGAGGAUGAUCAGCCACACUGGAACUGAGACACGGUCCAGACUCCUACGGGAGGCAGCAGUGGGGAAUAUUGCACAAUGGGGGAAACCCUGAUGCAGCCAUGCCGCGUGUGUGAAGAAGGCCUUCGGGUUGUAAAGCACUUUCAGCGAGGAGGAAAGGUUGGUAGCU